This 163-nucleotide long non-coding RNA is filed under the name Laticauda laticaudata (blue-ringed sea krait). RNAcentral's name for it is "Nuclear RNase P (ENSLLTG00000017558.1)". It matches the Rfam family "Nuclear RNase P", at positions 1 to 180 of the family's 301-position model. From Rfam's summary of the family: Ribonuclease P (RNase P) is a ubiquitous endoribonuclease, found in archaea, bacteria and eukarya as well as chloroplasts and mitochondria. Its best characterised activity is the generation of mature 5'-ends of tRNAs by cleaving the 5'-leader elements of precursor-tRNAs. Cellular RNase Ps are ribonucleoproteins. The record is from Rfam by way of RNAcentral. Lineage: Eukaryota; Metazoa; Chordata; Lepidosauria; Squamata; Elapidae.
UUUGGACUUUCUUGUGCUGGGUGUCCAUCACCCUUUGUCCCACCUCUGGGAAGGUCUGAGAGAAGGGCCAAGUUUGCCACCCUAGUAGGGUGCCCCAUUCUGAAGGUGAGUGAGUUCCCAGCAAUCCCAGCAAUGCAGUUAAGUCUCUCCAAAAUUCAGCAAA